ACAACAACAAUAAAAACCACACAUCCAUAGAAUAAAAACAACACGUAACGACUCCAGCACAAUAACGACAACAAGGCGGAGGCGCAGCUAACCGAUUCUUUUGGAGACUUGCUUUUGGGGACUCCCCAACAACCGGAUCGAGAACAAUAAAACUGUCACCAGGCAGCGCCGAACAGGUUGGAUCCUUUGAUCAAAGCAGCACCAGCAUCCAAAGCAAUCCGUUUGCUAUUGACUCCCGAUCGGGAGGCAUCCAAGGCCAGCAAGAGCCCACGAUGCACCGGACAACAAGAACAACAAGGCCGGACAAUAACAACAACAAAUAAGCAACAAUUCUUCUGGGGGAGCUGCGGCUCCCCCUGUCAAUUCCC
RNAcentral lists this small RNA (368 nucleotides) under uncultured Pseudomonas sp. Its description in RNAcentral is "Pseudomonas sRNA CrcZ". It matches the Rfam family "Pseudomonas sRNA CrcZ". The record is from RNAcentral. Lineage: Bacteria; Pseudomonadati; Pseudomonadota; Gammaproteobacteria; Pseudomonadales; Pseudomonadaceae.